GACGAACGCUGGCGGCGUGCUUAACACAUGCAAGUCGAACGGAAAGGCCCUGCUUUCGUGGGGUGCUCGAGUGGCGAACGGGUGAGUAACACGUGAGUAACCUGCCCUUGACUUUGGGAUAACUUCAGGAAACUGGGGCUAAUACCGGAUAGGAGCUCCAGCCGCAUGGUGGGGGUUGGAAAGUUUCGGCGGUUGGGGAUGGACUCGCGGCUUAUCAGCUUGUUGGUGGGGUAGUGGCUUACCAAGGCUUUGACGGGUAGCCGGCCUGAGAGGGUGACCGGCCACAUUGGGACUGAGAUACGGCCCAGACUCCUACGGGAGGCAGCAGUGGGGAAUAUUGCACAAUGGGCGGAAGCCUGAUGCAGCAACGCCGCGUGCGGGAUGACGGCCUUCGGGUUGUAAACCGCUUUCGCCUGUGACGAAGCGUGAGUGACGGUAAUGGGUGAAGAAGCACCGGCUAACUACGUG
Molecule: ribosomal RNA, 468 nt
Filed under: uncultured bacterium
Lineage: Bacteria
Description: partial 16S ribosomal RNA
Rfam family: Bacterial small subunit ribosomal RNA
Source: RNAcentral